Molecule: long non-coding RNA, 905 nt
Organism: Manis pentadactyla (Chinese pangolin)
Lineage: Eukaryota; Metazoa; Chordata; Mammalia; Pholidota; Manidae
Exons: 3
Source: RefSeq, a predicted model, not a curated record
CUUAUGCCUACAGGCCACAUAAAGCUUCAGUUCUCUGUGAAGACUAUAAGCAGUCAGUCUCCAUAGAGGAUACAGCAGAAGGAGAGCUACUUCAAGCUUCUAGAGGCUGCUUGAUUUCCUUGGCUCAAGAUCCUCCUCCUUCAACUUCAAAGCCAGCACUGGCUCCUACUUUUAUACUUCAAUUUCUCACCGGGGCCUUUUGCAUCAAGCUGACACAACCAAAACCUCUGCCUGGCAUGUGAGGCACCAAAUUAUCUUUCUGAAAGCCUUGUGCAUAUACUCAAAGGGACCACUUCACUGUGGAUUCCGUUUUUGGCUUCCUGCAAGUUUCAAUGUAGAAUCAAGUAGAAAAUGACUUCUAUAGAAGAUGACAUGAAUCUUUUCUAUACUUCAUGUAAUCAUGAAGAGAUAUCAACCCCAUCAGAUAUGAAAUGGUGUGCUAGUGAUUUAUUUUGAUUUUCUGAUUUAUAUACGGCAAAAUUCACCUGUUUGCUGUGCAGUUCUAUGAACCUUGACAAAGGUUCUUAAGAAUCAUAGAACCAGCAGCACAAUCAAGAUCAAGAACCCCCUCACCCCAGAAUCACUUCCUUGUGUGGCCCCUUUGUAGUGAGACCCUCCAACCCACCCUUAACCCCUGGCAACCACUCAUGUUUUUCCCCAUUUUUAAAGUUCUGCCUUUCCCAGAAUGUCAGAUAAAAAGAACUCUACAGUGUGAAACCUUUUGAGUCUGGCUUCUUGCACUGGGCACCAUGCACCGGAGACUCGGGCACUUUGUGCAGGCAUCCAGUUCCUUCCGCUGUGCAGUAGUCCACUGCACAGAUGUACUCUGGCUUUGUUUAUCCAUUUCACUGGUUGAAGGACAUUGACUUUUCUGCAAUUUUUAGUACCUAUCAAUAAAGCUGCUA